Molecule: long non-coding RNA, 945 nt
Organism: Neofelis nebulosa (Clouded leopard)
Lineage: Eukaryota; Metazoa; Chordata; Mammalia; Carnivora; Felidae
Exons: 3
Source: RefSeq, a predicted model, not a curated record
GAUGAGCACAAUAAGCUCUCACAAGCUUGUAUGAGCCUGCACGCCCCUGCUGGUGAAGGUGAGGAUUUCCACGUGGAAACAUUCUGAUGAAAUUCGCAUAUGCAGAGCUCAAGUUCAGGAGUAGAAUUUGGUGCUAGUGUCAGAAGAAGCAACUGAAUGAGACCUCUGAGAGCCCUCAGGAGCAAACAAGCAAAAGUACCCACUGAGCCCCUGGGACCCACUGCCUUCUUGCUGCCACUAGUGGUUGUAGUCCUUGUUUCUGAUCUGCGCCAACCAGAUUCAAACAUAGAACCUCUCUGAGUUCCACCAAAGGAAUCCAUUCACGCAAAAGCUUUUCGCACUAUCUGGAUUUCACCGGGAAUUUGGCAAGGGACAGGUAGGAGGGGCUUUACAUUGUGUAUCCCAAUGCAAGCUAUUUAAAAUGCAUGUAAUCUGAUUUCUGUUGUCUCUGACCACACUACCAUAAACAUAACAGAUAGAGCUGUGCUCUCUCCCUUUCUCUCCCUUACCUCUUUCUCCUCUAUACCUCCUUCUCUUUCCCUUCCACAGUACCUAGUUUUGUCAGGUCAUCUCUUCCUUAUUGUGCAGAGCAAUUCAAUCCUGAAGGAGUUUCUCCUUCCAAAAUUCAUAUUCAGUGCUCAGCAAAACAAAAGCUACCAACUUGACCUCCCCACUCAGUUAACAUGACCAACUUUCUUUAAGGGCACUUAAUAUAUAACGUUUUACAACAUAAGCAUAUUCUGAUAAGCCCGUCAGCUAUCCUGUCCUCCUCAAAAGAGAAGCUGAUGAAUUAAUUUUUUCUGCUUCUUGUUGUAAUUGUGAUAAGUGCUAGAACUGAGAAAAUAGAGUGUAGCGAGAAAAUAGUGUAUGAGGGGUAUCUGACUCCCAUUUCAGAAUAAUGAAAGGCAGAAGCAAUAAUCCUCACUUAAAAAUUUGAUGGGUAGA